This 103-nucleotide microRNA precursor is filed under the name Marmota monax (woodchuck). The record is from RNAcentral. Lineage: Eukaryota; Metazoa; Chordata; Mammalia; Rodentia; Sciuridae.
ACAUGAAUCACCUAGGGAUCUUGUUAAAAUGCACGUUCCAACUCUGUAGGUCUAAGGUAGGGCCUCAGACUGCAUUUCUAACAAGCUCCCAGGUGAGACACUU